GACGAACCGUCCUAACGUUGUUCGGAAUCACUGGGCUUAAAGGGCGCGUAGGCGGGUCAGCAAGUCCGGGGUGAAAUCUUUCGGCUCAACCGGAAAAUAGCCUUGGAUACUGCUGGUCUCGAGGGAGGUAGGGGCCUGUGGAACUUCCGGUGGAGCGGUGAAAUGCGCAGAUAUCAGGAGGAACACCAAUGGCGAAGGCAGCUCGCUGGGACGUGACUGACGCUGAGACGCGAAAGCGUGGGGAGCAAACAGG
This 253-nucleotide ribosomal RNA is filed under the name uncultured bacterium. RNAcentral describes it as "partial 16S ribosomal RNA". It matches the Rfam family "Bacterial small subunit ribosomal RNA", at positions 524 to 776 of the family's 1533-position model. The record is from RNAcentral.